Molecule: unclassified non-coding RNA, 282 nt
Organism: Callithrix jacchus (white-tufted-ear marmoset)
Lineage: Eukaryota; Metazoa; Chordata; Mammalia; Primates; Cebidae
Rfam family: Metazoan signal recognition particle RNA
About the family: The signal recognition particle (SRP) is a universally conserved ribonucleoprotein. It is involved in the co-translational targeting of proteins to membranes.
Source: Ensembl
GCCAGGUGCGGUGACACGUGUCUGUAUUCCCAGCUACUCCGGAGGCUGAGGCUGGAGGAUCUCUUGAGCCCACGAGUUCUGGGCUGUAGUGCACUAUGCCGAUCAGGUGUCCACACUAAGUUCGGCAUCAAUAUGGUGACCUCCCAGGAGCGCAGGACAACCGGGUUGCCUAAGGAGGGGUGAACCAGCCCAGGUCAGAACUCCCGUGCUGAUCAGUAGUGGGAUUGCGCCUGUGAAUAGCCACUACUCCAGCCUGGGCAAUAUAGUGAGACCCCGUCUCUU